CUUUGCUUUUGGCUCAAAGCUUGCUUUCGCAGGCAUUUCUGGAGGUGGUGCAGUCACCAACCCUGGGGGUGUUCAAGAAACAUUGAGCUUUUGUACCUAGGGGCGUGGAGUCAUGGGACAUAUUGGUGAUAGGUGGAUGGUUGGAGCCCUUGGAGGUCAUUUCCAGCCUUGCCGAUUCCCUGAGUCCUGUUUCUUAGCUCCAGAAUUCCACUGUCUCCUUCCCAAGGGUCAACAGGUAUUUGUCGACGGGGUGUAACGCCUCUCAUGCACGAAGAAGACAUUUGGGAAUUGGGAUGGAUUUUAUUGACAUGAUUGGUGACAGGGUGACAAUGGUGACAGACCCCUCAUGCUUGUGCAGACCCAAUGGUGUCCCGAUGAAGGGCCGCAGUGUGUUGUGGGGUCAGAAAAGAGCGGGCUUAGGUGGACGGAUGCCAAGGGCAGUCGCCAGCUCUCCAGGCAGGACCCAGUGAAGGAUGUCCUUCUGCAGCACAAACAGGGUGA
This 501-nucleotide long non-coding RNA is filed under the name Gallus gallus (chicken). Lineage: Eukaryota; Metazoa; Chordata; Aves; Galliformes; Phasianidae. The record is from RNAcentral.